UCGACGAGAGGAAAGGAAAAAAAGGGAGCUAAACCCUAAAUUGUCAAGAAUCAUCAAAUUGAAGCUUGAUUCAAGGCCAAAUCGAUGCAUGAACAUGAAUUAAUGAUCACCCAACCUAGGGGAUCAUAAGUUUGACGCCUAACGAGCUAGGUGGAGGCUUGGGAAAGAAGCGGUCAAACGAAUCAAGCAUGAGAAAAAAGGCGUAUUCGGGAUGCGAGGUAAGUUAAAGCUUACACCUUUUUAUUUAAUAUCUAUUGGUUUUAUAGAUUAUGAAUAAUCAAAAGUCACAUUUGACUUAUGAUGUUUCGACCCGACAUGCGCGGUUCGGAACAAAAGACAAUAAUGAUAAACCAUGUUGAAUGGUUAAAAAGAGCUAAUAAGGUCAUUUAGUCAUGCAAUGACUAAUAAAUAACGAGUUUUGAAUGAUUUACCUUAUAAGGUAAAUCAAUACAAUUAUUAAAGGUAAAACGGCAAUGUGGCCACUCGUUGACAAUAACCGUUAAUUUUGAAGGACACCUUACGGCGUAAGAUAUAAAGGGGUCAAAAUAAUCAAGAAAUAGAUUUAUAAGUAAAAUUGACCGUGUGGUGUAAACCGGUAUAAGUCAUGUAGACGAAAUAAUAAUAAAUCCAUCUCGCAAAAGUAAACGGUCAUAUAGACCAAACGGGUCAAAAGGUGAAAAUAUCACCCUUGACAAUAUCGGCUAAUGUUUUGUAGAGUUGCAUGAUUACAGGAAUAAAUAUUGAUUGAAUGUUGACAUCGCUAUUACUUAGCGGCUACUAAGGCAAGGUAUCAAAACGGGUCAAUAUAUUGAUUCUAGUCAGGUAUGUAUAAUUGGUCAAAUCAUCAUUAGAACUUGAAGUUCAAUGAGGGCUAAACAAGUUAAAAGGGACAUUGGGUUAUCUUUUAAGUAAACCGAAUGAUUUAAGUUAUAGUUAUUGUAUUUUGAAAACAUAAUGGCUAUUAAAACAAGAGCCUAGUUUAAAAGUGGAAUUUUGGUCAAUUAUGACAUGAAAAGUCUUUUGUUGUAAAGAAAGGAUUUAAGAUGACCAAAACGCCCUCGUAAGCAAAAUCGAGCAAAUGAACCUUAAGAGUUGUUUAAAAACAAGUUACAUGAUCAAGCAAAUACUUUGAAUAAGUAUAAAGAGUGAAAAGGGUAAAUCUAGGGUCAAAUGACUCAAUAUGGGUCUUUGCCGUAAAAUGAUAGUCCGAGGGAUAAAACUCGGAAUAUAUGGAUCUCCACAUUAAAUCCACCACAAAUAUAGUUGUGGUGGAAGAUUACUUGGUAAGAAAUGUGGAAAUAUAAAGCUAGAUACAAAUGAAAGCGAAUCGUGUUUAAAAUAUACUUAAAUACCCUUAACGGGUCAAAAUAAACAUGUGAGCGAAAACAGGUUAAGAAUGCGUAAGAAACACGUGAUUCAAACCUAAUAUGAUGGUCAAUAUUGAAAUGAUGUAUCUCAUGAGUUUAUAGAUCUAAUAAACAUGUUUGUUUGAUAUAAACACGAACGGGUCAAAAUUUGGUAAAAAGGGUAAUAAGUCGAAGACUUAAAAGUCUAAAAUUUUAUUAACCUGGAUGUUGGGUUUUAACUCCAUGAGAUAGAGAAUUAAAUUACGGACGCAUAGGAAAAAGAAUCGUGUAAAACGGAUCAAUAACGAAUGAGUUAUGUCCGUUUUCGUAAAACUUGGUUUGGCUGGAAAUAUGCAGCAACAUAAAAUGCACUUGCUGUCAAAAAGGGGGCUAGGUGGGGCGUCUAGCCCCCCCUGAAUCCGAAAAUUGUUAAAUUUUGUUUAUUUGACCCAUGUAACUUGUUUAAACUUAUUAUUUAACUAUCAAAACUAACUUUUAAGUUGGUUUUGAUCAUAGGUGAAUGUCAAGAGUGCCCGGAUGAAGAUCAAGCUCGAUGAGGAACCGAACACGAUAAAGUUAAAAGCUUCCGCACGAUAUUUCGUCGUAACUUUUAAACGACAAACUCAAAUUCAUUACGAUGUAUAUAAACCUUCAUUUGUAAAAGUUUUAAAUUAACCGUAUUAUUCAAAGUACAUGUAAUUAUAAUUACAUGUUCAUUUCCGUAAACUAUACGAAAACCUUAAAAUAAUUACAAGAUGGUAAUCAGAGCUCAAGGUUAAAAGAAUAAAGUGUUCGGUUCGAGGCUUGAUCGCAAAUCCGGUAAGUACAUGUAUAUCAAUGGUUUAGUAUGAUUAAAGUGUUGAGAACAACACAUACCAUUAUCGUGUAAUACACGUUACACCAAUAAAAACGAUAUAGAAUAGAUAUAGUCAACGAAAUUACACACGUUCAUGCGUACAGUAGAAAAGCCUUGUAUUAUAAUACGGGCAUCCUUUAAUGUUGAAAUUACUAACUAUUGUAUAUGUUUUAGUUGAAGGACACUCGCAUAUGAGGAUAGCGAGAGUUUAACAAAUCGCAGAUUUGACAGAGGAACGGUCCAAAGAGUAUGCUCAUCAAGGACCUAAAUCGCGUAACGGUCGCGAACAAGGCUAAUGGCAAGAGAAGCCCGUUAGGGCAAGCAUUACCAGUUUGACGCCUAACGAGCUAGGUGGAGGCUUGGGAAAGAAGCGGUCAAACGAAUCAAGCAUGAGAAGAAAGGCGUAUUCGGGAUGCGAGGAAUAAAUAUUGAUUGAAUGCUGACAUCGCUAUUACUUAGCGGCUACUAAGGCAAGGAAUCAAAACGGGUCAAUAUAUUGAUUCGAGCCAGGUGAAUGUCAAGAGUGCCCGGAUGAAGAUCAAGCUCGAUGAGGAACCGAAUACGUUAAAGUUAAAAGCUUCCACACGAUAUUUCGUCGUAACUUUUAAACGACAAACUCAAAUUCAUUACGAUGUAUAUAAACCUUCAUUUGUAAAAGUUUUAAAUUAACCGUAUUAUUCAAAGUACAUGUAAUUAUAAUUACAUGUUCAUUUCCGUAAACUAUACGAAAACCUUAAAAUAAUAACAAGGGUGU
RNAcentral lists this long non-coding RNA (2956 nucleotides) under Helianthus annuus (common sunflower). RNAcentral describes it as "hypothetical non coding rna". The record is from RNAcentral. Lineage: Eukaryota; Viridiplantae; Streptophyta; Magnoliopsida; Asterales; Asteraceae.